GGUCUAUGAUGUAUGAUAUUGUCCGUACCAUCUGAGUUCUUUUUGAAGAUCUCUUUGAUGUGCAAAAUUAUCUAAGGUACUGAGGCCU
Molecule: small nucleolar RNA, 88 nt
Organism: Cornus florida
Lineage: Eukaryota; Viridiplantae; Streptophyta; Magnoliopsida; Cornales; Cornaceae
Product: small nucleolar RNA snoR117
Exons: 1
Source: RefSeq, a predicted model, not a curated record